Molecule: ribosomal RNA, 166 nt
Filed under: uncultured bacterium
Lineage: Bacteria
Description: partial 16S ribosomal RNA
Rfam family: Bacterial small subunit ribosomal RNA
Source: RNAcentral
UGGGGAAUAUUGGACAAUGGGCGAAAGCCUGAUCCAGCCAUGCCGCGUGUGUGAAGAAGGUCUUCGGAUUGUAAAGCACUUUAAGUUGGGAGGAAGGGCAGUAAGCUAAUACCUUGCUGUUUUUGACGUUACCGACAGAAUAAGCACCGGCUAACUCUGUGCCAAG